This 880-nucleotide long non-coding RNA is filed under the name Vulpes vulpes (red fox). RNAcentral describes it as "lncRNA (ENSVVUG00000002692.1)". The record is from RNAcentral. Lineage: Eukaryota; Metazoa; Chordata; Mammalia; Carnivora; Canidae.
UGCUCGUCUAGAUGCCAGAGGAGGCAGGUGUGAAUAGAGUGGGGGCGGGCAAGAUGCUAGACGGGGAAAAUGUUCAACAUAAAUAUGUUUACAAUUUUCUUACAAUGUGCUAUACUUCAAAGGAGAUGAGGCUUUCAGAGCAUCUGGGGUCUUCCCUUUGAGAGAGAGAACAGGCUUGGUUUUUGGAGCACUAUGGAUUAUACCCCUUCCACUUAAAUGGCCACUUUCCUUUCACUCAGAUUCAUCCCUCGUGAAGAUGGAGAAGACAAGUUCACGUCCUGGUUCUCAAGGCUUGUGAGUGGGCAUAGAUUUGCCAGAAAAAGCAAGUUAGGUGCCGUGCUAGGGGUGUGUGUGGUGAAGCCAGAGAAUACGCAGGAAGCUUGUGUCGACUUCGUGUUCAGCCUUCACUCUUCUCCUUGGGCCAAGCUCGUGAUGACUUUGUCUCUCCCUUUCUGGUCCUGGCGACGUUACCAUCUUUCAUCUCUCCGGUGUGCAGGCCCUGCUCUCCAGAAUAGAGCUGAGGUAAAAUUCACAUUAUAUAAAGUCCAUCAUUUGUCGACUCGUCCUGGGGUACCACUGUACCACUGUCUCUCCGCCCCAAACAGAAACCCCAUCCCUGCCAGCAGUUGCUCUGUUUCCUCUCCUCCCAGCCCUGGAAACCAGCAGGCUGCUUCUGAUCUCUGCUCUGAGCACAUGCAUAUGUACACUUGUUCUCAUGGCUCCUGAAUUACACCCAGAAGAGGAAUGGUGGGGCAUGAGAUCUCAGGCCCACGGGUGUACCUAUGGCUCCUAGAUGAGAUGUAAGACCAGGUUUGAAUACAAAUGAAGAUCUGCAAACCCAGACUGAGCUUUCAUCACCGAAACAAGAAAAAUAAACACA